CCAGAUCCAUCAUCGCCGCCCCCUCUCGCCUCUCCCCCGAUCCACUCCCGCCGCUGCCUCCGCCCCCGCCCCCUUCUCCCCAGACUGAGAGAGAGGCACCGCCGCAACGGAGAGAGGGGCGCCGCCGUGGCCCGGACUCUCCUCCUCCUCCUCCUCCCCCCACAACUCGCCCACGCCAAAUCCGUCUCAGCCACCGGCCAGCCAGAGAGCGAUUCGCCGCCGCCGUCACCGCUGCUGCCGGCGUCAAGCCCCUCUCACCACCUAACAGCCUCACCCUCGUGGCCCCCGCCCCCUCACGGGCCCCGCGUCUCCCACAAGAAUCGCGCCCGCCCGUCUAGGGUUUCCGCCGCCGCCGGAGAGGAGGGGAGGGGAGGAGCGGAACCAGGGCGAGAUGGCCGGACGGCUCCUCGGGCAACUCCUCGUCAUGGGCGGCGCCGUCGUCGGCAGGGCCGUGGUCCAGGCCUACUGCCAGGCCAUCGUCGACUCGAAGGAGACCAUAUGCAAGGCACCUCCUCUUCGGCUGUGAGAGUGUCCAGGGGUCGUGGGUGCAGCUAAUGCCUAUGUCUGUGGCCGCACUUGACACUGCCCUCUCUUUAAGGGCACAUAUCAUUUUUUAUAACUCUGCUAUCUUUUCCCAAGUCUUUAUUAUCUUGCCUAGCCUUGUACUGAUAUGUAUUGUUUGAUGUUAAUUACCCAAGCUAGUGCAUGAUGUUAGGGAUAACCUGAGAGCACUUGCCUAAGUUUAUAAGAUAUGACAUGUGUCAGUCCAAGCCUGCUGCUCUUUCAAUGCUUUUGCUGCUGUACUGUGUUUCUCUAGUUGUUCGAAUGUUUCUGCUUCUUUUGGACCUGAUGAUAAGGACCUUUCUUUUCUCCCGUGGGUUAAAACAAUGGGAGUUUGCAUGGAAGGUUCUCUCGCUGUAUGUGAACAGCAGUAUGAUGUUACUUGGCAAAUGUUUUUUCUAUGACAUGAGGGAAGAGCUACUAUCAUGUGCAUGGAAGGUUUUCAAGUGAGCACUUGUUAGUUUGUUUAGUACUUAUGUAGUAUGGGAAAUAUGCAUAGGUAUGUCCAUGUGAUUUUUAAGCAUGCUUACUGCCUACCUGAUACAGAGUUCUAUAACUGAUGUUCUUUAUUUGACAGUCUAUAGUCUCUUAUAGUUGAAAACUUGAAUAGUUACAUUAUGUGUGCUGCUAUGUCUCUUAUAGUUUCAGAAAAACAUUAAUUUAUCUGUCCUGUUCUAUUAAUCCUAAAGAUGAAACUCAUGCAUAUGUUGCUUAACCUGACUGGCUUGAGUAUUGUUCCGAACGAAUUAUACUACAGAUUCCCUUCACUGUUUUUCUUCUAGUUAUCUCAUAGGAUUACUCAUGAGGCACAUCUAUUCUCUCCAUUUUUUAGAACAAAAAUGUGAUUAAUUCAGCAUGCUUAUGAGUAUCAUGCUUCUGAAUAUCUCCAAGCUGGAUAUUUCCAUUAAACAUGUUUCUGAAUACCUCCCAUAUAUAUUUCCGUUAGUCUGCUUAGUGCAUCAUUAAGAUUAUAAGCAUCAUUUUCAUUGAAUCCUGGUUACAUAUUUGUGUGUACUCAAGUUGAAAAUGGGACUUGGAAUAAUAUGCAAGUUUCAUCUUUUCUAUUGCAGCGAGUGGGUCGGUUAUGCACUGGCAGCAUCCUUGCUACUAGCGGUGGGCGCGAUGGUCCGGGCCAAGCAGAGAAAGAUAGGUGAGAUAUGCUCAGAGGUGAUCAUCGACAAGUCCUCGGACAAGAUGACGAUGGAGAGUAUAGUGGAGGCACAACACAUCAUGAAGAAGGUGCACGAGUACGUCAAGACGACGAACGUCGUGAUCCUCAGGCUAUGGUCCAUUAUUCUAGCCCGGUCACCAAAGGAAAUUCACCUGUGCGGCGGCGGCGGGGAAGGAGCAGCAUCGGCAGCCCUGACAGAGGAAGCCAUGUUGCCGUUUUGUUUGUUCCCAGCCUUGACUAUGGUUGUCCAGCGAGUCCGGCAUGUCGUCAUUUUCUUGUAAAGCAGUAUUGUAUCACACUUGUAGAGCUCGUUACACAUGUAGAUCUUGUAAAGUACUGUAUUACACAUGGUCAUAUGUAUUGGCAACGUGAUCUGGUUGCUCUUAUUUGAA
This is a non-coding RNA of Triticum urartu, 2124 nucleotides long. NCBI's taxonomy places the organism in Eukaryota, Viridiplantae, Streptophyta, Magnoliopsida, Poales, Poaceae. The record is from RefSeq and is a predicted model, not a curated record.